AGAUUGCAAGAGCAAAGAAAAAUGUAUAAUGAUCCAAUUCAAAUUCUGAGAGUACAAAAGUGCAGGCCUGUGACUUGUUUUUUUUCUGGCAUAAAUGGUUGAGCCUUACUCUCUAAAAUUCUGAUGCUGAAAAAACUUACCAAAAAAUUAGGCAAGCGAAAUGCUGAAAUAAUAGAGGUAGUUUUUUUCUC
Long non-coding RNA from Empidonax traillii (willow flycatcher), 191 nucleotides. RefSeq lists it as uncharacterized. NCBI's taxonomy places the organism in Eukaryota, Metazoa, Chordata, Aves, Passeriformes, Tyrannidae. The record is from RefSeq and is a predicted model, not a curated record. The transcript is spliced from 3 exons.